GGGUGUGUAGCUCAACAGGUAGAGCGGAUUCGUGGGCCUAGCCGUGGAAUCGCGUUGUCAGUUCAACUCUGACCACACCACCA
Molecule: transfer RNA, 83 nt
Filed under: Salmonella enterica
Lineage: Bacteria; Pseudomonadati; Pseudomonadota; Gammaproteobacteria; Enterobacterales; Enterobacteriaceae
Also listed under: 1 other name
Description: tRNA-Gly
Source: RNAcentral